CGUAGGGUGCAAGCGUUAAUCGGAAUUACUGGGCGUAAAGCGUGCGCAGGCGGUUUGGUAAGACAGAUGUGAAAUCCCCGGGCUUAACCUGGGAAUUGCAUUUGUGACUGCCCGGCUAGAGUUUGGCAGAGGGGGUAGAAUUCCACGUGUAGCAGUGAAAUGCGUAGAUAUGUGGAGGAAUACCGAUGGCGAAGGCAGCCCCCUGGGUCAAGACUGACGCUCAUGCACGAAAGCGUGGGGAGCAAACAGGAUUAGAUACCCUGGUAGUCCACGCCCUAAACGAUGUCUACUAGUUGUCGGGUCUUAAUUGACUUGGUAACGCAGCUAACGCGUGAAGUAGACCGCCUGGGGAGCACGGUCGCAAGAUUAA
RNAcentral lists this ribosomal RNA (370 nucleotides) under uncultured organism. Its description in RNAcentral is "bacterial SSU rRNA". It matches the Rfam family "Bacterial small subunit ribosomal RNA", at positions 526 to 897 of the family's 1533-position model. The record is from RNAcentral.